RNAcentral lists this ribosomal RNA (445 nucleotides) under Fusobacterium periodonticum. RNAcentral describes it as "bacterial SSU rRNA". It matches the Rfam family "Bacterial small subunit ribosomal RNA", at positions 28 to 498 of the family's 1533-position model. Lineage: Bacteria; Fusobacteriati; Fusobacteriota; Fusobacteriia; Fusobacteriales; Fusobacteriaceae. The record is from RNAcentral.
GAUGAACGCUGACAGAAUGCUUAACACAUGCAAGUCUACUUGAACUUCGGUUUGGGUGGCGGACGGGUGAGUAACGCGUAAAGAACUUGCCUCACAGUUAGGGACAACAUUUGGAAACGAAUGCUAAUACCUGAUAUUAUGAUUUUAGGGCAUCCUAAGAUUAUGAAAGCUAUAUGCGCUGUGAGAGAGCUCUGCGUCCCAUUAGCUAGUUGGAGAGGUAACGGCUCACCAAGGCGAUGAUGGGUAGCCGGCCUGAGAGGGUGAACGGCCACAAGGGGACUGAGACACGGCCCUUACUCCUACGGGAGGCAGCAGUGGGGAAUAUUGGACAAUGGACCAAAAGUCUGAUCCAGCAAUUCUGUGUGCACGAUGACGUUUUUCGGAAUGUAAAGUGCUUUCAGUUGGGAAGAAAAAAAUGACGGUACCAACAGAAGAAGGACGGUAA